AAACAACUGAAAUACAUUACAUAACCAGACAUUUGCAACACAAUAUGUAGACACAUCCGAAUAUGUUUAAACCUCAACGCCAAGUGACGUCAUAUUUGAAAUUGUAAAAAAAUGACAAAAAAUGAUGACGUCAUUUGAAUUUGUAUAACAGAUCAUCAAAAAAUGAAAAAUGACGUCAUUUGAAUGAAUAAGAUAGAACUAGGACUGACCCAAG
Molecule: long non-coding RNA, 214 nt
Filed under: Mytilus galloprovincialis (Mediterranean mussel)
Lineage: Eukaryota; Metazoa; Mollusca; Bivalvia; Mytilida; Mytilidae
Source: RNAcentral